UACGUAGGUGGCAAGCGUUGUCCAGAUUUAUUGGGUUUAAAGGGUGCGUAGGCGGUUCCAUAAGUCAGUGGUGAAAUACAAUAGCUUAACUAUUGAGGUGCCAUUGAUACUGCGGAACUUGAGUACAGACGAGGUAGGCGGAAUUGACGGUGUAGCGGUGAAAUGCUUAGAUAUCGUCAAGAACACCGAUAGCGAAGGCAGCUUACUAGACUGUAACUGACGCUGAGGCACGAAAGUGUGGGGAUCAAACAGG
RNAcentral lists this ribosomal RNA (253 nucleotides) under uncultured bacterium. RNAcentral's name for it is "partial 16S ribosomal RNA". It matches the Rfam family "Bacterial small subunit ribosomal RNA", at positions 524 to 776 of the family's 1533-position model. The record is from RNAcentral.